This 72-nucleotide transfer RNA is filed under the name Akkermansia sp. RNAcentral describes it as "tRNA-Arg". It matches the Rfam family "tRNA". From Rfam's summary of the family: Transfer RNA (tRNA) molecules are approximately 80 nucleotides in length. Their secondary structure includes four short double-helical elements and three loops (D, anti-codon, and T loops). Further hydrogen bonds mediate the characteristic L-shaped molecular structure. tRNAs have two regions of fundamental functional importance: the anti-codon, which is responsible for specific mRNA codon recognition, and the 3' end, to which the tRNAs corresponding amino acid is attached (by aminoacyl-tRNA synthetases). tRNAs cope with the degeneracy of the genetic code in two manners: having more than one tRNA (with a specific anti-codon) for a particular amino acid; and 'wobble' base-pairing, i.e. permitting non-standard base-pairing at the 3rd anti-codon position. The record is from RNAcentral. RNAcentral also lists the same sequence under 1 other name. Lineage: Bacteria; Pseudomonadati; Verrucomicrobiota; Verrucomicrobiia; Verrucomicrobiales; Akkermansiaceae.
GGCCCCGUCGUUCAAUGGAUAGGACGGAGGUUUCCGGUACCUCUGAUGUAGGUUCGAUUCCUACCGGGGCUA